UACGAAGGGAGCUAGCGUUGUUCGGAAUUACUGGGCGUAAAGCGCACGUAGGCGGAUUUGUAAGUUAGAGGUGAAAUCCCGGAGCUCAACUUCGGAACUGCCUUUGAUACUGCAGGUCUUGAGUCCGAUAGAGGUGAGUGGAAUUCCUAGUGUAGAGGUGAAAUUCGUAGAUAUUAGGAAGAACACCGGUGGCGAAGGCGGCUCACUGGAUCGGUACUGACGCUGAGGUGCGAAAGCGUGGGGAGCAAACAGG
RNAcentral lists this ribosomal RNA (253 nucleotides) under uncultured bacterium. Its description in RNAcentral is "partial 16S ribosomal RNA". It matches the Rfam family "Bacterial small subunit ribosomal RNA", at positions 524 to 776 of the family's 1533-position model. The record is from RNAcentral.